UCUCUCUUUAAAGAAUGACUCUUAAGUGGCUACUGAGGCACAUGUACAUCACUAGGUGGCAGAGAGGAGAAAGGCUCCAUCUAUGCUCAGUGUUCUGACCUAGGAACAUCUGAAUAAUUAGUAGCCUGAAAAG
Molecule: small nucleolar RNA, 133 nt
Organism: Apodemus sylvaticus (European woodmouse)
Lineage: Eukaryota; Metazoa; Chordata; Mammalia; Rodentia; Muridae
Product: small nucleolar RNA SNORA17
Exons: 1
Source: RefSeq, a predicted model, not a curated record